This 559-nucleotide long non-coding RNA is filed under the name Homo sapiens (human). Its description in RNAcentral is "non-protein coding lnc-PTPA-1:1". Lineage: Eukaryota; Metazoa; Chordata; Mammalia; Primates; Hominidae. The record is from RNAcentral.
GAAGCCCUGAUUCCUUGGAGAAAGGCUUGCAGCCCCUCUCCUUCCUGGAUUGCACACCUCCAGCCCUGGCAGCCUGUCCCCUGGUUGGCACCCAGCAGCAGGCCACAGAUGGCUUCUGGCUGUCCCAUGGCGUCGCAUCAGGGCAUGCAGCGGAUAGUGACUCACACUGGCACCUCUUCUGCUUGGAAAAUGCCCUACACAUCCAUCAUCUUUGGUUUUUCUGCUAGAACGAUGGCAUGAGGAGCCGGCUCAGGUGUCUCUCCCUCCAGGAAGUGGGGCUUGUGCCCUUUGGAUACCUGCACUCCCCAUCACCGCACUCCCCAUCGUGGCACUUCCCUUGUUGCAGUUUUAUGGAGUGUGCGUCUGGCUCUCCAACUAGACUUGAACCGCUUGAGUGCAUAACUCGGGACUUGACCAUUUGCGUCUCCCUACGGCCAGCUCAGCCUCCGCACACAGGGACCUGCAGAGAGUGGAUGUAGCCACUGCCCCAGCGUCCCUGGGCUCUGAAGAGAAGCCAUUGCCCUUCAAGAGCCACCCUCAUUUCCUGGGCACUGGUUGG